AUACGGAGGGUGCAAGCGUUAUCCGGAAUCAUUGGGUUUAAAGGGUCCGUAGGCGGACUAUUAAGUCAGAGGUGAAAUCCCACAGCUCAACUGUGGAACUGCCUUUGAUACUGGUAGUCUUGAGUUAUAUGGAAGUAGAUAGAAUAAGUAGUGUAGCGGUGAAAUGCAUAGAUAUUACUUAGAAUACCGAUUGCGAAGGCAGUCUACUACGUAUAUACUGACGCUGCGGGACGAGAGCGUGGGGAGCGAACAGGAUUAGAAACCCUAGUAGUCC
Molecule: ribosomal RNA, 274 nt
Filed under: uncultured bacterium
Lineage: Bacteria
Description: partial 16S ribosomal RNA
Rfam family: Bacterial small subunit ribosomal RNA
Source: RNAcentral